UGGUGGGUAGUUUGACUGGGGCGGUCUCCUCCUAAAGAGUAACGGAGGAGCACGAAGGUUGGCUAAUCCUGGUCGGACAUCAGGAGGUUAGUGCAAUGGCAUAAGCCAGCUUGACUGCGAGCGUGACGGCGCGAGCAGGUGCGAAAGCAGGUCAUAGUGAUCCGGUGGUUCUGAAUGGAAGGGCCAUCGCUCAACGGAUAAAAGGUACUCCGGGGAUAACAGGCUGAUACCGCCCAAGAGUUCAUAUCGACGGCGGUGUUUGGCACCUCGAUGUCGGCUCAUCACAUCCUGGGGCUGAAGUAGGUCCCAAGGGUAUGGCUGUUCGCCAUUUAAAGUGGUACGCGAGCUGGGUUUAGAACGUCGUGAGACAGUUCGGUCCCUAUCUGCCGUGGGCGCUGGAGAACUGAGGGGGGCUGCUCCUAGUACGAGAGGACCGGAGUGGACGCAUCACUGGUGUUCGGGUUGUCAUGCCAAUGGCACUGCCCGGUAGCUAAAUGCGGAAGAGAUAAGUGCUGAAAGCAUCUAAGCACGAAACUUGCCCCGAGAUGAGUUCUCCCUGAGACUUUAGGUCUCCUGAAGGAACGUUGAAGACGACGACGUUGAUAGGCCGGGUGUGUAAGCGCAGCGAUGCGUUGAGCUAACCGGUACU
This 649-nucleotide ribosomal RNA is filed under the name Salmonella enterica subsp. enterica serovar Paratyphi B var. L(+) tartrate +. RNAcentral describes it as "partial 23S ribosomal RNA". It matches the Rfam family "Bacterial large subunit ribosomal RNA", at positions 2259 to 2902 of the family's 2925-position model. RNAcentral also lists the same sequence under 1 other name. Lineage: Bacteria; Pseudomonadati; Pseudomonadota; Gammaproteobacteria; Enterobacterales; Enterobacteriaceae. The record is from RNAcentral.